RNAcentral lists this ribosomal RNA (480 nucleotides) under uncultured bacterium. RNAcentral describes it as "partial 16S ribosomal RNA". It matches the Rfam family "Bacterial small subunit ribosomal RNA", at positions 28 to 506 of the family's 1533-position model. The record is from RNAcentral.
GAUGAACGCUGGCGGCGUGCCUAACACAUGCAAGUCGAACGGAGAUUCCGGACGGAAGUUUUCGGAUGGAAGCCUGUAAUUCUUAGUGGCGGACGGGUGAGUAACGCGUGGGCAACCUGCCCUAUACAGGGGGAUAGCAGCUGGAAACGGCUGGUAAGACCGCAUAAGUCGGUUAAAUCGCAUGAUUUGAUCGGGAAAUGAGCAAUCAGGUAUAGGAUGGGCCCGCGUCCGAUUAGCCAGUUGGCAGGGUAAAAGCCUACCAAAGCGACGAUCGGUAGCCGGACUGAGAGGUCGGACGGCCACAUUGGGACUGAGACACGGCCCAAACUCCUACGGGAGGCAGCAGUGGGGGAUAUUGCACAAUGGAGGAAACUCUGAUGCAGCGACGCCGCGUGAGUGAAGAAGUAUUUCGGUAUGUAAAGCUCUAUCAGCAGGGAAGAUGAUGACGGUACCUGACUAAGAAACCCCGGCUAACUACGU